This 1231-nucleotide long non-coding RNA is filed under the name Sus scrofa (pig). RNAcentral describes it as "lncRNA (ENSSSCG00015005035.1)". Lineage: Eukaryota; Metazoa; Chordata; Mammalia; Artiodactyla; Suidae. The record is from RNAcentral.
CUCCGGCCAGGUCUCUGCAGCCAUGAGCCCUCCUGUGACCCACAUCCCACAUCAGCCCCAUGAAGGCGACCCCAUGAUGGUGCCCCCAUCAGCGCUGAUCAGGAGGAGCUCCAGGACCUGCCCGCUCUGCUUCUGAGCCCCCGUGGCUGCUCAGCCCAGCUCUUCCCGGAAGCCGCCCAAUCUACCAGGUGCAAACAUGUCCCUGUGAAUGCGGCUGGGUUGGGAAGGUGUAAUGCAGAGUGAAAGAAGCCAGACUCAAAAGACAUCUUAUUGUGGGAUCGUUUGGACAUGACAUUCUGGAAAAGGCAAAAUUAUAGAGACAGAAAACAGAUGCUCGGGAGCAGGGACUGAGGUGGGAAGGAACCUUCGGGGGUGAUGGGAACUCUUUAGGUCUUGAUGUUGGUAAUGGCUACAGGGCCCCACACAUCUGUCAAGACACACUGAACUGUACACCUGGAAAGAAUGAACUGCACUGUAUGUAAAUUACACCCCCAUUAACCUGACUUCAAAACACAGCAGGAUGCCCUUCUGGGAAGAGCCAGGCCCUCCCCACUCAAGAAGAAGUAACCCCAAUGUCUGCAAACUGGUUUUGAUCAAUGAACCUCUUCCUUAGAAUGAACUACCUGCAGCAACCUCAAUAUAAAAGAAAGCAAAGAUGCUUUCUCCUCCAACCCAAGAUGCCCCCAAGAAAUCAUGGGCUCCGGGGGACCUCGAAUGCUAGUGCCAGCCCUACCUCCUGCAGGUGAACCUGGGGGCCAGGGCUGGCUCGCCAGGCAUGGGGAGGGGACUCCACAUGGACACCCUGCCGGCAGGGGCCAUGGUGCGAGAGGGAGGUACACCACAGCAGAAGCAUCUCUGCUGUGGAAACACAGCCCUGUGUCCAUCAGCAGCCUCCCAGCCACGGUCCAGACGGGCGGUCAAGCAUGCAGGCUUCAGACGUGGACGCCGUACCUCCCGCCCCCGGCUGGGAGACCCAGGCAAGUCACUCUGGCCUGUGUGCCCAGGUUCCCUGGAGUGUGACAUGGCCACAGCCCCUCCCUUGCUGGGCUUUCAGGACGGUUCCACGAGAUGACAUAGGUGGAAAACCCAGCUUGCAUUUAACCCCACAUCCAGGCAGUGGCCGCCGCCGUCCUCGCUGUUACCCCUCGGUGCUGGGGGAGGGGAGGGCAAAGGCCCCAUGGGCGCCCCUCCCCCUGGCCUGAGCCGUUUCAUCUGGUUUGUAUCGAGGGGU